UGGCGGCGUGCCUAAUACAUCGCAAGUCGAGCGAAUCGAUGGGAGCUUGCUCCCUGAGAUUAGCGGCGGACGGGUGAGUAACACGUGGGCAACCUGCCUAUAAGACUGGGAUAACUUCGGGAAACCGGAGCUAAUACCGGAUACGUUCUUUUCUCGCAUGAGAGAAGAUGGAAAGACGGCCUCUAGCUGUCACUUAUAGAUGGGCCCGCGGCGCAUUAGCUAGUUGGUGAGGUAAUGGCUCACCAAGGCGACGAUGCGUAGCCGACCUGAGAGGGUGAUCGGCCACACUGGGACUGAGACACGGCCCAGACUCCUACGGGAGGCAGCAGUAGGGAAUCUUCCGCAAUGGACGAAAGUCUGACGGAGCAACGCCGCGUGAACGAAGAAGGCCUUCGGGUCGUAAAGUUCUGUUGUUAGGGAAGAACAAGUACCAGAGUAACUGCUGGUACCUUGACGGUACCU
This 462-nucleotide ribosomal RNA is filed under the name Lysinibacillus macroides. Its description in RNAcentral is "bacterial SSU rRNA". It matches the Rfam family "Bacterial small subunit ribosomal RNA", at positions 37 to 480 of the family's 1533-position model. Lineage: Bacteria; Bacillati; Bacillota; Bacilli; Caryophanales; Bacillaceae. The record is from RNAcentral.